CAGUCGCCGCGGUAAAACGUAGGUGGCAAGCGUUGUCCGGAAUUAUUGGGCGUAAAGCGCGCGCAGGCGGAUCGGUCAGUCUGUCUUAAAAGUUCGGGGCUUAACCCCGUGAUGGGAUGGAAACUGCCAAUCUAGAGUAUCGGAGAGGAAAGUGGAAUUCCUAGCGUAGCGGUGAAAUGCGUAGAUAUUAGGAAGAACACCAGUGGCGAAGGCGACUUUCUGGACGAAAACUGACGCUGAGGCGCGAAAGCCAGGGGAGCGAACGGGAUUAGAUACCCCCGUAGUCCCUGUCUCUUAUACA
This 301-nucleotide ribosomal RNA is filed under the name uncultured bacterium. Its description in RNAcentral is "partial 16S ribosomal RNA". It matches the Rfam family "Bacterial small subunit ribosomal RNA", at positions 509 to 809 of the family's 1533-position model. The record is from RNAcentral.